RNAcentral lists this ribosomal RNA (1554 nucleotides) under Salmonella enterica subsp. enterica serovar Senftenberg. RNAcentral describes it as "bacterial SSU rRNA". It matches the Rfam family "Bacterial small subunit ribosomal RNA". The record is from RNAcentral. RNAcentral also lists the same sequence under 2 other names. Lineage: Bacteria; Pseudomonadati; Pseudomonadota; Gammaproteobacteria; Enterobacterales; Enterobacteriaceae.
AAAUUGAAGAGUUUGAUCAUGGCUCAGAUUGAACGCUGGCGGCAGGCCUAACACAUGCAAGUCGAACGGUAACAGGAAGCAGCUUGCUGCUUUGCUGACGAGUGGCGGACGGGUGAGUAAUGUCUGGGAAACUGCCUGAUGGAGGGGGAUAACUACUGGAAACGGUGGCUAAUACCGCAUAACGUCGCAAGACCAAAGAGGGGGACCUUCGGGCCUCUUGCCAUCAGAUGUGCCCAGAUGGGAUUAGCUGGUUGGUGAGGUAACGGCUCACCAAGGCGACGAUCCCUAGCUGGUCUGAGAGGAUGACCAGCCACACUGGAACUGAGACACGGUCCAGACUCCUACGGGAGGCAGCAGUGGGGAAUAUUGCACAAUGGGCGCAAGCCUGAUGCAGCCAUGCCGCGUGUAUGAAGAAGGCCUUCGGGUUGUAAAGUACUUUCAGCGGGGAGGAAGGUGUUGCGGUUAAUAACCGCAGCAAUUGACGUUACCCGCAGAAGAAGCACCGGCUAACUCCGUGCCAGCAGCCGCGGUAAUACGGAGGGUGCAAGCGUUAAUCGGAAUUACUGGGCGUAAAGCGCACGCAGGCGGUCUGUCAAGUCGGAUGUGAAAUCCCCGGGCUCAACCUGGGAACUGCAUUCGAAACUGGCAGGCUUGAGUCUUGUAGAGGGGGGUAGAAUUCCAGGUGUAGCGGUGAAAUGCGUAGAGAUCUGGAGGAAUACCGGUGGCGAAGGCGGCCCCCUGGACAAAGACUGACGCUCAGGUGCGAAAGCGUGGGGAGCAAACAGGAUUAGAUACCCUGGUAGUCCACGCCGUAAACGAUGUCUACUUGGAGGUUGUGCCCUUGAGGCGUGGCUUCCGGAGCUAACGCGUUAAGUAGACCGCCUGGGGAGUACGGCCGCAAGGUUAAAACUCAAAUGAAUUGACGGGGGCCCGCACAAGCGGUGGAGCAUGUGGUUUAAUUCGAUGCAACGCGAAGAACCUUACCUGGUCUUGACAUCCACGGAAGUUUUCAGAGAUGAGAAUGUGCCUUCGGGAACCGUGAGACAGGUGCUGCAUGGCUGUCGUCAGCUCGUGUUGUGAAAUGUUGGGUUAAGUCCCGCAACGAGCGCAACCCUUAUCCUUUGUUGCCAGCGGUCCGGCCGGGAACUCAAAGGAGACUGCCAGUGAUAAACUGGAGGAAGGUGGGGAUGACGUCAAGUCAUCAUGGCCCUUACGACCAGGGCUACACACGUGCUACAAUGGCGCAUACAAAGAGAAGCGACCUCGCGAGAGCAAGCGGACCUCAUAAAGUGCGUCGUAGUCCGGAUUGGAGUCUGCAACUCGACUCCAUGAAGUCGGAAUCGCUAGUAAUCGUGGAUCAGAAUGCCACGGUGAAUACGUUCCCGGGCCUUGUACACACCGCCCGUCACACCAUGGGAGUGGGUUGCAAAAGAAGUAGGUAGCUUAACCUUCGGGAGGGCGCUUACCACUUUGUGAUUCAUGACUGGGGUGAAGUCGUAACAAGGUAACCGUAGGGGAACCUGCGGUUGGAUCACCUCCUUACCUUAAAGAAGC